GAUUGGUUCGUCUACCUCCUCCACUAUUUCUCCGCCGCCUCUCCAUGCCCUAGACUCCCGUCCAUGACACCUCAUCCAUGCUACAGUCAAAUCUCUCAUCAAUCCCCUACCUCCCCAAUCUCAAAAUUACAAAUCUCGGACCACAAUGAUCUCUACAUGCCCUAGACUCCCGUCCAAGGGACCUCAACGUUUCAUCCAUGCUACAGUCCAAUCUCUCAUAUCAAUCCCCAACCUUUAGAUCUCCUCAAUCCCCUUCCUCCCCUAUCUCGGGUUUUCAAAUCCAGGACCGCAAUGAUCUCAGUUACAGUAUCCAGAUAGCAUUGCUGCCACACUUACAGAAAAUAUGAUAAAGAACUUGCAGUGUUUCAAAAGACGUGGCGUGGGCUGGAAGGAUACCGCAGAGGCAUCAGAUGGUUGGAGGGAUCGGCAAGGGGAGGAGGCUGCCAGGGCUAUGAACUAGCAAAUAAUGCUACUUUAGAAACCAUGUGGACGCCAUCCAAGGACAAAGAAAGAAGCGGUAUGGGCUAGGGAUUACAUGUUGGCUACCACUUACUGGAAACAUGAGACGCGGAUUGACAUGGAAACAAGAAGAAACGAGAAGUGGUUUCUCUCAAUGCCACACGCUUAGUUGGUGGAGAAAGCUGAUUGAUAUUCCAAGUACGCAUGGAAAGUAACUUGAUGAAGUAAACAACAUGGCAACAGGGUGAUUGGAUUUUUCAUCCUUUUUCACAGUUCAUUUAUAUGCUUAUUUCAGAUCAGUUACCAAUGACAUUCAAUAUAGAAAAGAAGGGGAAAACUUGUGCUUUCUAAGUACAUAUGAUUUCCAUGCUUUGGUGUUACUUCUUUUGGGCUUUAAUGGAUGCUACCAGUGUGCAUUGAGAAAAAAAAGUAUUUCAAUCUAAGGGGAAUACAACGUGUAUAAUUAUUAUGUGCUAAUGCACAAAAGUCCUCAAGUAUAUCAUGCUUCCUGCUACUAACUUCAUGUCGAUGGCACGUCCAUGCUGCUGCAUGUUGCUAGCAGAUUCAACUCCCUCGAUGAUAUAUUUAACUUAGACAUCCUCAAGCAGCUAUGGCGUACUCUGCUGCCAGUUUUCUGUAAGUAUGACCCCGUUUUGCCCUUUUUAUGAAGUUCUAUAUAUUAUCUUUGAGCUUAGUUUUAUUUGGAAGGGAUUGAAGAAGAAAGGUAGAUGACCCCACCAUCCAGCGGCCAACCAUACAGAACUUGGAAAUCAUAAUAUUAGGCAUUCUGGCUCAUUGUAGAAGUAUGGUAAAACAACACUAUUGUCUAUUCAUUUGUCUACUUGAAUACAAAAUAUGAUUAAUAGGGAGGGGCGUUUUGGCUCCCAGGAGCACAUGCUUCUGGCUGUACAGUAACACACACAAAAAUUAGUAAAUGUUUUUAGAAAAUUCUGAAAUCUUUUGUGGAUGGUCGGGUUAGUGUUAGAACCAUGUCUGACAAUUUUCAUGUGAA
Molecule: long non-coding RNA, 1471 nt
Organism: Triticum aestivum (bread wheat)
Lineage: Eukaryota; Viridiplantae; Streptophyta; Magnoliopsida; Poales; Poaceae
Exons: 5
Source: RefSeq, a predicted model, not a curated record